This 406-nucleotide ribosomal RNA is filed under the name uncultured bacterium. RNAcentral's name for it is "partial 16S ribosomal RNA". It matches the Rfam family "Bacterial small subunit ribosomal RNA", at positions 30 to 526 of the family's 1533-position model. The record is from RNAcentral.
AUUGAACGCUGGCGGCAGGCCUAACACAUGCAAGUCGAGCGAGAGGCGGACGGGUGAGUAAUGUCUGGGAAACUGUCUGAUGGAGGGGGGUAACCACUGGAAACGGUAGCUAAUACCGCAUACCAUCAGAUGUGCCCAGAUGGGAUUAUCUAGUAGGUGGGGUAACGGCUCACCCAGGCGACGCUCCCUAGCUGGUAUGAGAGGAUGACCAGCCACACUGGAACUGAGACACGGUCCAGACUCCUACGUGAGGCAGCAGGGGGGAAUAUUGCACAAGGGGCGCAAGCCUGAUGCAGCCAUGCCGCGUGUGUGAAGAAGGCCUUCGGGUUGUAAAGCACUUUCAGCGGGGAGGCGUUACCCGCAGAAGAAGCACCGGCUAACUCCGUGCCAGCAGCCGCGGUAAUUC